RNAcentral lists this ribosomal RNA (464 nucleotides) under uncultured soil bacterium. Its description in RNAcentral is "bacterial SSU rRNA". It matches the Rfam family "Bacterial small subunit ribosomal RNA", at positions 26 to 501 of the family's 1533-position model. The record is from RNAcentral.
AGAUUGAACGCUGGCGGCAUGCCUUACACAUGCAAGUCGAACGGUAGAGUAGCAAUACUCGAGAGUGGCGAACGGGUGAGUAAUAUAUCGGAACGUGCCCAGUCGUGGGGGAUAACGUAGAGAAAUUUACGCUAAUACCGCAUACGAUCUAAGGAUGAAAGCGGGGGAUCGCAAGACCUCGCGCGAUUGGAGCGGCUGAUAUCAGAUUAGGUUGUUGGUGAGGUAAAAGCUCACCAAGCCGACGAUCUGUAGCUGGUUUGAGAGAACGACCAGCCACACUGGGACUGAGACACGGCCCAGACUCCUACGGGAGCAGCAGUGGGAAUUUUUGGACAAGUGGCGAAAGCCUGAUCCAGCAAUGCCGCGUGCAGGAAGAACGGCCGUUCGGGUUAGUAAACGUGUCGUUUUUGUAACGGAACCGUAAAAGGACUUACGUUUACCUUAAAGUAAAGGUAACGGGUACC